Molecule: ribosomal RNA, 959 nt
Filed under: uncultured bacterium
Lineage: Bacteria
Description: bacterial SSU rRNA
Rfam family: Bacterial small subunit ribosomal RNA
Source: RNAcentral
AGAGUUUGAUCCUGGCUCAGAACGAACGCUGGCGGCAGGCCUAACACAUGCAAGUCGAGCGCCCCCUUUCAGAUUUCAGAUGGCAGACGUCGGAUGUCAGAAGCGCUGUGCGGUAGUCCCGCGCGGUGGUUUUUCUGACGUCUGAUAUCUGAUGUCUGACAUCUGAUGGGGGAGCGGCGGACGGGUGAGUAACGCGUGGGAAUUUUCCUCAAGGUAGGGAACAACUCAGGGAAACUUGGGCUAAUACCCUAUGAUGCAGAGAUGCCAAAGAUUUAUCGCCUUGGGAUAAGCCCGCGUCAGAUUAGGUAGUUGGUGGGGUAACGGCCUACCAAGCCUGCGAUCUGUAGCUGGUCUGAGAGGACGAUCAGCCACAUUGGGACUGAGACACGGCCCAAACUCCUACGGGAGGCAGCAGUGGGGAAUCUUGCGCAAUGGGCGAAAGCCUGACGCAGCCAUGCCGCGUGAAUGAUGAAGGUCUUAGGAUUGUAAAGUUCUUUCGCCCGUGACGAUGAUGACGGUAACGGGAGAAGAAGCCCCGGCUAACUUCGUGCCAGCAGCCGCGGUAAUACGAAGGGGGCUAGCGUUGUUCGGAAUUACUGGGCGUAAAGCGCGCGUAGGCGGUUUUGCAAGCCAGAGGUGAAAUGCCUGAGCUCAACUUAGGAAUUGCCUUUGGGACUGCGAGGCUUUGAGGACGGAAGAGGUGAGUGGAAUUCCCAGUGUAGAGGUGAAAUUCGUAGAUAUUGGGAAGAACACCGGUGGCGAAGGCGGCUCACUGGUCCGUUUCUGACGCUGUAGCGCGAAAGCGUGGGGAUCAAACAGGAUUAGAUACCCUGGUAGUCCACGCUGUAAACGAUGAGUGCUAGGCGUCGGCACGCUUGCGUGUCGGUGCCGCAGCUAACGCGUGAAGCACUCCGCCUGGGGAGUACGGUCGCAAGAUUAAAACUCAAAGGAAUUGACGG